Molecule: ribosomal RNA, 714 nt
Filed under: uncultured Lactobacillus sp.
Lineage: Bacteria; Bacillati; Bacillota; Bacilli; Lactobacillales; Lactobacillaceae
Description: bacterial SSU rRNA
Rfam family: Bacterial small subunit ribosomal RNA
Source: RNAcentral
AGAGUUUGAUCCUGGCUCAGGACGAACGCUGGCGGCGUGCCUAAUACAUGCAAGUCGAACGCACUCUCGUUAGAUUGAAGAAGCUUGCUUCUGAUUGGUAACAUUUGAGUGAGUGGCGGACGGGUGAGUAACACGUGGGUAACCUGCCCUAAAGUGGGGGAUAACAUUUGGAAACAGAUGCUAAUACCGCAUAAAACCUAGCACCGCAUGGUGCAAGGUUGAAAGAUGGUUUCGGCUAUCACUUUAGGAUGGACCCGCGGUGCAUUAGUUAGUUGGUGAGGUAAAGGCUCACCAAGACCGUGAUGCAUAGCCGACCUGAGAGGGUAAUCGGCCACACUGGGACUGAGACACGGCCCAGACUCCUACGGGAGGCAGCAGUAGGGAAUCUUCCACAAUGGACGAAAGUCUGAUGGAGCAACGCCGCGUGAGUGAAGAAGGUUUUCGGAUCGUAAAACUCUGUUGUUGGAGAAGAACGUAUUUGAUAGUAACUGAUCAGGUAGUGACGGUAUCCAACCAGAAAGCCACGGCUAACUACGUGCCAGCAGCCGCGGUAAUACGUAGGUGGCAAGCGUUGUCCGGAUUUAUUGGGCGUAAAGCGAGCGCAGGCGGUUUCUUAAGUCUGAUGUGAAAGCCUUCGGCUCAACCGAAGAAGUGCAUCGGAAACUGGGGAACUUGAGUGCAGAAGAGGACAGUGGAACUCCAUGUGUAGCGGUG